AACGAACGCUGGCGGCAGGCCUAACACAUGCAAGUCGAGCGAGACCUUCGGGUCUAGCGGCGGACGGGUGAGUAACGCGUGGGAACGUGCCCUUUUCUACGGAAUAGCCUCGGGAAACUGAGCGUAAUACCGUAUACGCCCUUUGGGGGAAAGAUUUAUCGGAGAAGGAUCGGCCCGCGUUGGAUUAGGUAGUUGGUAGGGUAAUGGCCUACCAAGCGUACGAUCCAUAGCUGGUUUGAGAGGAUGGUCAGCCACACUGGGAGUGGGACACGGCCCAGACUCCUACGGGAGGCAGGAGAGGGGAAUCUUAGACAACGGGGGCAACCCUGAACUAGCCAUGACGGGAGAGCGAUGAAGGCCGUGGGGUUGUAAAGCUCUUUCAGCUGGGAAGGUAUUGACGGUACCAGCAGAAGAAGCCCCGGCUAACUCCGUG
RNAcentral lists this ribosomal RNA (433 nucleotides) under uncultured bacterium. Its description in RNAcentral is "partial 16S ribosomal RNA". It matches the Rfam family "Bacterial small subunit ribosomal RNA", at positions 29 to 507 of the family's 1533-position model. The record is from RNAcentral.